GCAAAUUGAGGUAGUAGGUUGUAUAGUAGUCUCACUAAAAUUAACAUACUAUACAACGUGCUAGCUUUCUUUGC
Molecule: microRNA precursor, 74 nt
Filed under: Musca domestica (house fly)
Lineage: Eukaryota; Metazoa; Arthropoda; Insecta; Diptera; Muscidae
Description: let-7 microRNA precursor family
Source: Rfam by way of RNAcentral